CUUUGAUGAUUUGGUGACAGUACCCAGUAGGAGACUCAGAUGAAGUCAUGUGGAUGUGCUUGACAUGAAUGACUAGGAUCCCUCAGGUUGAAGAGGAGCCUUAGAAGGAUGGUGUUGGUAAAGUUUUCUUCAACAAUGUGGAGUAGAGCAUUUACAACCUUUUAGGAAUUGAUGGGAGCAACUGAAAAAUGCAAUGCUGAUGGAUGUUGGUCCUCCCAAGAUGUGGAAAUAAGCAGCCACAGCCAGACAGGAAUGAAUGAAAAAUAAAACUUGAAGAAGCAAACUGGAAUUGGUGGAAACAACUGGAAAAGACAUGACUGAUAGACCUUGACUCUUUAAGAUAUGGAAAUGGGCAGCUAUAGCCAGACAAGAUUUGGUCGAAAAACCUAGAAAAGGCGAGACUGAUGGAUGUUGACCCUUCGGAAUGUGGAAAUGAGCAGUUACAGCCAGACAAUAUUGGUGGAAACAACUAGAAAAGACAAGACUGAUGGAUGAUGACCUUCCCGACAGCAAGACAUAUCAUAAUGGAUAACUGUCACUGAUCAGUAAUCUUUGAUGUUUUGGUGACAGUACCCUGUAGGAGACUCAGAUAAAGUCAUGUGGAUGUGCUUGACAUUAUGAAUGACAAGGAGC
Long non-coding RNA from Saccostrea echinata, 633 nucleotides. RefSeq lists it as uncharacterized. Lineage: Eukaryota; Metazoa; Mollusca; Bivalvia; Ostreida; Ostreidae. The record is from RefSeq and is a predicted model, not a curated record. The transcript has 3 exons.